RNAcentral lists this ribosomal RNA (482 nucleotides) under uncultured bacterium. RNAcentral's name for it is "partial 16S ribosomal RNA". It matches the Rfam family "Bacterial small subunit ribosomal RNA", at positions 30 to 507 of the family's 1533-position model. The record is from RNAcentral.
AUUGAACGCUGGCGGCAUGCUUUACACAUGCAAGUCGAACGGCAGCGCGGGGCAAUCUGUCGGCGAGUGGCGGACGGGUGCGUAAUAUAUCGGAACGUACCCAGAAGUGGUGGAUAACGUAGCGCAAGUUACGCUAAUACCGCAUACGAUCUACGGUAGAAAGUAGGGGACCGCAAGGCUUUAUGCCUUUGUUGCUGUCGCUAUCGGAUUAGCUAGUUGGUGAGGUAAAGGCUCACCAAGGCGACGAUCAGUAGCUGGUCUGAGAGGACGACCAGCCACACUGGAACUGAGACACGGUCCAGACUCCUACGGGAGGCAGCAGUGGGGAAUUUUGGACAAUGGGCGCAAGCCUGAUCCAGCAAUGCCGCGUGAGUGAAGAAGGCCUUCGGGUUGUAAAGCUCUUUUGUCAGGGAAGAAACGGUAGAGGCUAAUAUCCUUUGCUAAUGACGGUACCUGAAGAAUAAGCACCGGCUAACUACGUG